Molecule: microRNA, 21 nt
Filed under: Mus musculus (house mouse)
Lineage: Eukaryota; Metazoa; Chordata; Mammalia; Rodentia; Muridae
Description: mmu-miR-6370
Source: miRBase by way of RNAcentral
GCAGGAACAGCAAAGGGGAAG